This 207-nucleotide ribosomal RNA is filed under the name uncultured Syntrophorhabdus sp. Its description in RNAcentral is "partial 16S ribosomal RNA". It matches the Rfam family "Bacterial small subunit ribosomal RNA", at positions 568 to 774 of the family's 1533-position model. The record is from RNAcentral. Lineage: Bacteria; Pseudomonadati; Thermodesulfobacteriota; Syntrophorhabdia; Syntrophorhabdales; Syntrophorhabdaceae.
CGCGUAGGCGGUUAUGUAAGUCAGAUGUGAAAUACUCCGGCUCAACCAGAGAACUGCAUCUGAAACUGUGUAGCUAGAGUACAGGAGAGGGAAACGGAAUUCCCGGUGUAGAGGUGAAAUUCGUAGAUAUCGGGAGGAACACCAGUGGCGAAGGCGGUUUCCUGGCCUGAUACUGACGCUGAGGCGCGAAAGCGUGGGGAGCAAACA